RNAcentral lists this ribosomal RNA (497 nucleotides) under uncultured bacterium. RNAcentral describes it as "partial 16S ribosomal RNA". It matches the Rfam family "Bacterial small subunit ribosomal RNA", at positions 28 to 507 of the family's 1533-position model. The record is from RNAcentral.
GAUGAACGCUGGCGGCGUGCCUAAUACAUGCAAGUCGAGCGAACGGACGAGAAGCUUGCUUCUCUGAUGUUAGCGGCGGACGGGUGAGUAACACGUGUAUAACCUACCUAUAAGACUGGGAUAACUUCGGGAAACCGUAGCUAAUACCGGAUAAUAUUUUGAACCGCAUGGUUCAAAAGUGAAAGACGGUCUUGCUGUCACUUAUAGAUGGAUCCGCGCUGCAUUAGCUAGUUGGUAAGGUAACGGCCUACCAAGGCAACGAUGCAUAGCCGACCUGAGAGGGUGAUCGGCCACACUGGAACUGAGACACGGUCCAGACUCCUACGGGACGCAGCAGUAGGGAAUCUUCCGCAGUGGGCGAAAACCUGACGGAGCAACGCCACGUGAGUGAUGAAGGUCUUCGGAUCGUAAUACUCUGUUAUUAGGGAAGAACAUAUGUGUAAGUAACUGUGCACAUCGUGACGGUACCUAAUCAGAAAGCCACGGCUAACUACGUG